UGCCUUAACCUCCCAAAGUGCUGGCAUUCCUGGUGUGAGCCAUUGCACCCAGCCAACUCAACAGUUUUUUAACUGUAAGCAUAAAACAUAUUUGAUUUAUGCCUGUCUCCCUCUAUACGUCUCUCUCUUUCUAUCUUUUGGGAGAUAAAGAAUCCCAAGGUGGGGUGGGAUGGAGGAAGGUGCAUGUUGGGCAAGGGAUGGAAUACCAUCUCCUUGUGGCCAUGGAGGCUCUGGCCCCAGCUCCCUUUGCCCUUUCAUCCUUUCAGAGGGUCCUGUUAGACUUCAUUCUUUUGAGUCAGACUGGGGCCUGGGGAAGCGGUGACAGAGGGUGAGUGCUCCAGAAGUGCAAAUGAAGGGCUCAUCCUUGUCCUUUUGGUCAGACACAAGCACAGGCUUGCUGUUGAACUGAGAGUUCAAGAUCAGAUUAAUAUGCCCUUGGCUGUAGAAAACAUGUUUUUCAGGCAGACAGUGAGUUUCCAGAGCACCAAAUGCAUCCUCUGGUACAGAUGGCCCCUUUUUUCUGCUUCACUGGAAUAUUCCAUUGGUUUGCCCAGGCAUUGUUUACAUGCAUUUCUUGGGACAUGUCUUCUUAGCUAAAGUUAGAUGUGAUGUGUCUGUGUGCCUUAAGAAGCUAGGCUGGUUCACAAUUUGAUGGUUAACAUGAAGGCAAAGACAAGUAAACGGCAUGGUUGCAGUGAGGAUUCAGACACUAGCUGUUCCUUCAGUAUUCCAAAUAGAAACUGACUUCCUUCUGGUCUUUGGUCCAGGAUGAGAAAGUCACUUUUUUUUUUUUUUAAUGGGGCUGCUAGACUUCCCAGAGAGUCAUUAACAAAACAAAAACCAAGGCAGUCUCAAAGAGUAUGGAUUCCAUUUGGAGGGCUUUCAAAUGGCAUACGGGAGCAUCUGAAUAAAAUAAACAGAUUUAAGGCACAAGCUUAUUACUUCAUCGGGACUGGAAGGAAACUGGUUCAAGGCUACCUUUGAACUAAAGCUCUUUAGCUCAAUUUCAAAACCAUUCAGCAAUUCCUACGUCAGUUAAACAUUCAAAACCAGAAAGUUUGGAGUUUAGUUCAUUUUAAAAAGACAAAAACAAAAUCUAGAUCCAGCUUCAGAUUCCUGUAAGUAAAGGCGUUCAUUGCCUCAUCUCUAUGGGAAUGAGUGUUGAGUCUAGUUAAUCAGCAAAUAUUCACUGACUUAGGCACCAUGCUGCAUGUUAUUAGGUUUUUCAGAGAUGAUAACACACAUCCCUAGAGGAGAUAGACAUGCAAAGUACUACAUGUGAUGCAAGGUGUUGAGUGCCACCGUGGAGACAAGGGAGUGAGUUCAAAGUGCUCAGAGACAGCAGGUUGGGUGGUCCUCUAAGAAGAGAUCACAGGAGCUGGUCCUCUGUAAAUGCAGAAGAUGUCUCCUGGCUAAAAUGGAAAAAGUGAGAAUCUAGGCAUAAAUAAACAUUUGCCAAAAGCCAUUGAAAAUAUGGCUAUGUUUCAGAAAGGAAACAGCCGAAAAAUGGAAUGACAGGAGAUGUGACUGGUCUGAUAGGUCAGGGUGGGGUGGGACAUGAAGAACCUUCCAUGCCUAGGUGAGGGGAGCAGAAUUUAUCUUGAGCACAACAAGGAUCCACAAAUUUUGACCAAAGGAGCCUGAUGGUCAGUUUUGCAUUUUAAAAGAUUUACCCUGUCAAGUGCGUUUUGGGCACAGAUUAGAAUGGGGAAGAAUCUAAGAGGAAAAAGGCCAGUUCAGGUGUGAGAGCCAUGAUUCAAGAGGAGGGCCCAUCCCUGAAGCCCACAUCCUCAUUUCACUCUUUAAUUAGAAAUUGGUAGAUAUAUAAGAGGCCAGGACGUGUGGGUUCCAGGAAGACCCACCCCGGAGAGACUGGGCAGCUCAGUACAGAGAAUACAGAGUAGAAAUUAGGAGAAGGGUGGUGCCAGUCCUCUUUCUGCAUCCCGUUUGUUCUAUGCCCUGCAGUUAUAGCUCCUUAGCCCGCUGCCCAUUUAUGUGGAGAUUGGCUGUGGGAGGAGGCAGUUUGGCAUGGCAGAAAUUGCGUGGACUUUGGAAUCGAGCACUCCCAGAUUUUAAUCUUCGGCCCCAAGUUUAAUAAGUAGGUGCUAUUGGGUAACACGUUUCAGUUCCCUGAAGUUCAGUUUCCCCACUUGUAAAAUGAGGAUAACCAUGUCUAUUCCAUAGGGCAGCAGUGAGGAUUACAGAAAAUUCAGUUGGCAGUGUAACCAAACUGGAUUCAGGAUAGGCAGUUCUGAAUUCACCUGUGGUCCCCCUUGGAGUAAUAGUGACAGAUUCCCUCAAGUUAGGCAUAUGCCUUCCCCUGCCCCUUGGAAACAUCAAACUCAAUAGCAUAAGGAAACAGGUGGUGGCUUUAGAAGGUAGUAUGUUUGGUGUCAGUCUCCAUGGAUACUUGAAAGAGAGGCUCAAAGGAGUACAGUGAUAUUAAAGUAAUUAAGCUGCAUUUAACGAGCACUUACAAUGGGCCAAGUGCUCUACAGUGGUGUCUUGGGGCCUCCUGGACCAGGUAUCUCCUGUUCCUGCCCUCGUUCCUGUUGUAGGUUUUAGCCUACAACAAAUUUUAGGCUCUCUUGUCUCAUUUCUGGACCUUAAAACACUCUCUUUGUGAUUUACUGGUUGAAAGUGGAUUUAAUAUGUGUGAAAAUCAGGAAAUGGCCGAAAAGGCGAUGCUUGGGAAACUGUGCAUUGCUAUGGAUGUUAAUUUUCAUUUGAAUAUGAGCUGCCAUGGAUCUAGACUUCUGAAUAAGCUUCGUUGAUGAUAAAGGGUCAUUGUGGAGUAUCAGCUGGGCUAUUUACAUUAGAAAAUUCAUCCCAAAAUAGUCUUUUCUUAAACCACAGAGGAGAGCUCAUGAAAAGGAAAUGGCAUCUUAGAAGUUUAAAUAGGCUUGCUUCCAGGAAAAGUAUUAAGAAUCUGGUCAGUAUUGGUAGUUUACACAAACACGUUUUUUUUGUUUUUUUUUUUUUUCUGAUUCUUUUUUCUUUGUCCUCCUCCUCUCUCUGUACACCCUUAAGAAAAACUAGGUGGUGAAGUGGGGCAGGAAAUGGUUUCAAUCAGAUCACUCUCUUUUCCUGCAGUAAAUAGGGGGUUUCCCCACAAUGGUUGGUUUUCAAACGUUUUUUAGAUUCCCUGUUUAUCUACCCUAACCAUUGCCUUUUGCCAGUGCUGUGUCUCUGAAGUAAUGGAAGUGCUUUGAUUCUGAUGGGAUACCAAUGAGUUGAUAAAUAAGAAGCCCCCCACCACCACCACCAAACAGAAAGUGUGGAAUUUAUUUCAUAAAUAUCCAUUCAUUAAAUAAGCAUUGAGGGCCUACUGUGUACCAAGCAUUGUGACAGUCCCUAGGGAUGCAAAGAUGAGCUAGGCAUGCAUUCUGCCAGGAAGUGGGUAGCCUACUAGGAAGCCAUAGAUUAUGAUAUAUGAACUUGAUGUGUUAGUGAUUAGUGCUUAGGUCCUGAAAAGGGACAGAUGCAGUGUGGGGGAAGUCCAGAUUACUGCUAAGUUUUUUGAGGUGAAGGAAGGUAGAAGUGUUGGUCAUGACUGGCUUCCCAAAGAGGUAGCAUCUAGACAUGGAAGAUAUAAAGAACAUUCCAGAUGAAGGAAAGAGUAUAGCAAGGGCAUGGCAGUUGAAUGCCUCAGUACACUUAAGGGGUAAAACAAUUACAGUGGAAUUACAUUAUGCAUAUGUUAAAAUCACACAUAUGAUCCAAGUAGCAAGAGGAGAAAAAUUAAGAGUGCAGGCUGGCUUGGUGUGGUGGC
Molecule: long non-coding RNA, 3772 nt
Organism: Sapajus apella (tufted capuchin)
Lineage: Eukaryota; Metazoa; Chordata; Mammalia; Primates; Cebidae
Exons: 3
Source: RefSeq, a predicted model, not a curated record